GAUGAACGCUGGCGGCGUGCCUAAUACAUGCAAGUCGAGCGAACAGAUGAGGAGCUUGCUCCUCUGACGUUAGCGGCGGACGGGUGAGUAACACGUGGAUAACCUACCUAUAAGACUGGGAUAACUUCGGGAAACCGGAGCUAAUACCGGAUAAUAUAUUGAACCGCAUGGUUCAAUAGUGAAAGACGGUUUUGCUGUCACUUAUAGAUGGAUCCGCGCCGCAUUAGCUAGUUGGUAAGGUAACGGCUUACCAAGGCAACGAUGCGUAGCCGACCUGAGAGGGUGAUCGGCCACACUGAAACUGAGACACGGUCCAGACUCCUACGGGAGGCAGCAGUAGGGAAUCUUCCGCAAUGGGCGAAAGCCUGACGGAGCAACGCCGCGUGAGUGAUGAAGGUCUUCGGAUCGUAAAACUCUGUUAUUGGGGAAGAACAAAUGUGUAAGUAACUAUGCACGUCUUGACGGUACCUAAUCAGAAAGCCACGGCUAACUACGUG
This 497-nucleotide ribosomal RNA is filed under the name uncultured bacterium. RNAcentral's name for it is "partial 16S ribosomal RNA". It matches the Rfam family "Bacterial small subunit ribosomal RNA", at positions 28 to 507 of the family's 1533-position model. The record is from RNAcentral.